AGCGAACGCUGGCGGCAGGCCUAACACAUGCAAGUCGAACGGAUCCUUCGGGAUUAGUGGCGGACGGGUGAGUAACACGUGGGAACGUGCCCUUUGGUUCGGAACAACUCAGGGAAACUUGAGCUAAUACCGGUUGUGCCCUUCGGGGGAAAGAUUUAUCGCCAUUGGAGCGGCCCGCGUCUGAUUAGCUAGUUGGUGAGGUAACGGCCCACCAAGGCGACGAUCAGUAGCUGGUCUGAGAGGAUGAUCAGCCACACUGGGACUGAGACACGGCCCAGAAUCCUACGGGAGGGAGCAGUGGGGAAUCUUGCGCAAGGGGCGAAAGCCUGACGAAGCCAUGCCGCGUGAAUGAUGAAGGUCUUAGGAUUGUAAAAUUCUUUCAGCGGGGACGAUAAUGACGGUACCCGCAGAAGAAGCUCCGGCUAACUUCGUG
This 433-nucleotide ribosomal RNA is filed under the name uncultured bacterium. RNAcentral's name for it is "partial 16S ribosomal RNA". It matches the Rfam family "Bacterial small subunit ribosomal RNA", at positions 29 to 507 of the family's 1533-position model. The record is from RNAcentral.